Non-coding RNA from Pelobates cultripes (western spadefoot toad), 524 nucleotides. The record is from the annotation of a GenBank genome assembly. NCBI's taxonomy places the organism in Eukaryota, Metazoa, Chordata, Amphibia, Anura, Pelobatidae.
GGCAGGGGAACCUAGACAUUCAGCCUGCACCUACGUGAGAUCCAUGGCCUCGGGCAGCCCGCUAGCUGCAGCCCCUCACAGCAGGAGGGCUCCUGGCUUUACUCUGUAGGACACAUGACUCGGUGCCUGCUAUGGACCAGCUGGGCUCAUAGGUGAAUUAGGUCCCAGGGAGGUGUACAGGGUUGCCAGGGGACACUAUUCCUUUAUAUCACUUCCACAUCAUGAUGGGCACCGUGGGGACAUGUAGGCUGAACAUGCAGUGUGUACAAAAUCGAAUGCUGCAGGUGGAAUGUUCUAAUCAAUAAUCAGAGACUAAUGUGGAAUCCUGCGGGAUACGAUGCAUUCUGCACACUGCAGGGCAGAGCUUUUAAUAUGAUGAACUGAUGUGUUUAGUAAAACAUUUUGGAUAUGGCAUCUCUCAGUGUGUAACCCAUACAGUACAUGAGCGUUGGAACCCAACGCUUUUAUCAUCCCCCUCUAUUAAGGAGUUAAUCAAAUACCUUUUUUGUAUAAAGGCAACAGAG